This 76-nucleotide transfer RNA is filed under the name Clostridiales bacterium. RNAcentral describes it as "tRNA-Thr". It matches the Rfam family "tRNA". Rfam says of the family: Transfer RNA (tRNA) molecules are approximately 80 nucleotides in length. The record is from RNAcentral. Lineage: Bacteria; Bacillati; Bacillota; Clostridia; Eubacteriales. RNAcentral also lists the same sequence under 2 other names.
GCUAAUGUGGCUCAGCUGGUAGAGCAGUUCACUCGUAAUGAACAGGUCGCCGGUUCGAAUCCGGCCAUUAGCUCCA